UGGUGGACCACAAUUCAUAUUGCAUAGCCCGCGUGCAUCCCGCACGCUCGCAUGGGCCUGGGCCAUGUGCCUGUGUUGGCCCAUGCACACCUGCUGCCCGCAUUGGGCCACACGCUGCUAGCCCUACCAUGUCAUUUUUGAGCUUCUCUACCUUGUGGUUUCUCCUACAGGCUUCUUUAUCUUGUGUUUUUCUCCAGUGGAUCGAAUUUAAGGCA
This 215-nucleotide long non-coding RNA is filed under the name Elaeis guineensis (African oil palm). Its description in RNAcentral is "long non-coding RNA (EGUI_LNC044265)". Lineage: Eukaryota; Viridiplantae; Streptophyta; Magnoliopsida; Arecales; Arecaceae. The record is from RNAcentral.